CAGCAGCCGCGGGAAAACGGAGGGGGCUAGCGUUGUUCGGAAUUACUGGGCGUAAAGCGCACGUAGGCGGCUUUGUAAGUCAGAGGUGAAAGCCCGGGGCUCAACCCCGGAACUGCCUUUGAAACUAGGUGACUAGAAUCUUGGAGAGGUCAGUGGAAUUCCGAGUGUAGAGGUGAAAUUCGUAGAUAUUCGGAAGAACACCAGUGGCGAAGGCGACUGACUGGACAAGUAUUGACGCUGAGGUGCGAAAGCGUGGGGAGCAAACAGGAUUAGAGACCCCGGUAGUCCCUGUCUCUUAUAC
This 301-nucleotide ribosomal RNA is filed under the name uncultured bacterium. RNAcentral's name for it is "partial 16S ribosomal RNA". It matches the Rfam family "Bacterial small subunit ribosomal RNA", at positions 509 to 807 of the family's 1533-position model. The record is from RNAcentral.